Periconia macrospinosa is the source of this 74-nucleotide non-coding RNA. The record is from the annotation of a GenBank genome assembly. Lineage: Eukaryota; Fungi; Ascomycota; Dothideomycetes; Pleosporales; Periconiaceae.
GCCGGUUGGCGCAAUGGUAGCGCGCGGGCCUCCUAAGCCCGAGGCUGUGGGGUAAGUUCAAUUCUACAGAUGCG